GGAGCUUAGUGGCAGAACAUCAGCCUUGCAUGCAGAAGGACCCAGGUCCAAACCCUGGGGGCAUCU
Molecule: non-coding RNA, 66 nt
Organism: Podarcis lilfordi (Lilford's wall lizard)
Lineage: Eukaryota; Metazoa; Chordata; Lepidosauria; Squamata; Lacertidae
Source: the annotation of a GenBank genome assembly